UACGAAGGGGGCUAGCGUUGCUCGGAAUGACUGGGCGUAAAGGGCGCGUAGGCGGAUGGCACAGUCAGAUGUGAAAUUCCCGGGCUUAACCUGGGGGCUGCAUUUGAUACGUGUUGGCUUGAGUUCGGAAGAGGGUUGUGGAAUUCCCAGUGUGGAGGUGAAAUUCGUAGAUAUUGGGAAGAACACCGGUGGCGAAGGCGGCGGCCUGGUCCGACACUGACGCUGAGGCGCGAAAGCCUGGGGAGCAAACAGG
This 253-nucleotide ribosomal RNA is filed under the name uncultured bacterium. Its description in RNAcentral is "partial 16S ribosomal RNA". It matches the Rfam family "Bacterial small subunit ribosomal RNA", at positions 524 to 776 of the family's 1533-position model. The record is from RNAcentral.